Molecule: ribosomal RNA, 497 nt
Filed under: uncultured bacterium
Lineage: Bacteria
Description: partial 16S ribosomal RNA
Rfam family: Bacterial small subunit ribosomal RNA
Source: RNAcentral
GACGAACGCUGGCGGCGUGCCUAAUACAUGCAAGUUGAGCGCUGAAGGUUGGUACUUGUACCAACUGGAUGAGCAGCGAACGGGUGAGUAACGCGUGGGGAAUCUGCCUUUGAGCGGGGGACAACAUUUGGAAACGAAUGCUAAUACCGCAUAAAAACUUUAAACACAAGUUUUAAGUUUGAAAGAUGCAAUUGCAUCACUCAAAGAUGAUCCCGCGUUGUAUUAGCUAGUUGGUGAGGUAAAGGCUCACCAAGGCGAUGAUACAUAGCCGACCUGAGAGGGUGAUCGGCCACAUUGGGACUGAGACCCGGCCCCAACUCCUCCGGGAGGCAGCAGUAGGGAAUCUUCGGCCAUGGACGAAAGUCUGACCGAGCAACGCCGCGUGAGUGAAGAAGGUUUUCGGAUCGUAAAACUCUGUUGGUAGAGAAGAACGUUGGUGAGAGUGGAAAGCUCAUCAAGUGACGGUAACUACCCAGAAAGGGACGGCUAACUACGUG